CCUACGGGUGGUAGCAGUGGGGAAUAUUGGACAAUGGGGGGAACCCUGAUCCAGCCAUGCCGCGUGUGUGAAGAAGGCCCUCGGGUUGUAAAGCACUUUCAGUGAGGAAGAACGCCUGGUGGUUAAUACCCAUCAGGAAAGACAUCACUCACAGAAGAAGCACCGGCUAACUCCGUGCCAGCAGCCGCGGUAAUACGGAGGGUGCGAGCGUUAAUCGGAAUUACUGGGCGUAAAGCGCGCGUAGGUGGCUUGAUAAGCCGGUUGUGAAAGCCCCGGGCUCAACCUGGGAACGGCAUCCGGAACUGUCAAGCUAGAGUGCAGGAGAGGAAGGUAGAAUUCCCGGUGUAGCGGUGAAAUGCGUAGAGAUCGGGAGGAAUACCAGUGGCGAAGGCGGCCUUCUGGACUGACACUGACACUGAGGUGCGAAAGCGUGGGUAGCAAACAGGAUUAGAUACCCGAGUAGUC
This 465-nucleotide ribosomal RNA is filed under the name Vreelandella stevensii. RNAcentral's name for it is "partial 16S ribosomal RNA". It matches the Rfam family "Bacterial small subunit ribosomal RNA", at positions 338 to 795 of the family's 1533-position model. The record is from RNAcentral. Lineage: Bacteria; Pseudomonadati; Pseudomonadota; Gammaproteobacteria; Oceanospirillales; Halomonadaceae.